Molecule: long non-coding RNA, 1048 nt
Organism: Panthera uncia (snow leopard)
Lineage: Eukaryota; Metazoa; Chordata; Mammalia; Carnivora; Felidae
Exons: 3
Source: RefSeq, a predicted model, not a curated record
GAGGGUGGCCACUCAAGUGACCCUCUUCUUCUCUCCUUUCUUAGGUACUCCCCUUUUUUCCUUCUCUCCUUUCCCCAUCCCUCUUACCAUCUUCAUUACCAGGCCUACCCGACUUGCCCCCAGCCUGACCCUUUGAGCUCUUUCUUAUCACCCUCCCCUUGGCUUACCGUCCUCCAUGGACACUGGCCUCACAGUUGAACAGACCAAAUAAGCUGCCCCCUCACCGCUUGCACUGGCUGCACCCCCAGCAGCUGUAGUGGUGCCCGGCUACUUACUUGCUUUGCCCUCCCUCUGGGUCCCCACUCUAAUGUCACCUACACAGAAAGGCCUUUUGUAACCACUCUGUCUACAUUUUAAGUAUUAUCUACCAUGUUCUCUGUCUCCUUCCUCUGCCUUUUCUUUUCCUUCAGAACAGUUAUCACUAGACUUGUCAUAUUUGCCUCAGAUCUUUCUAAAAUAAAAAAAAAAUAUACAUGAAGGUCCUUUUUCCAUCUCCCCCAAUAUCACUCUCUUUUUCCUCUUUUACCAAAGGAACUCUCAUAAUUCUGGUCUCUGAUUCACAUAUUCUUCUACUUACUUACUUACUCAUUUAUUUAUACUUCAUAUGUGUGGGUAUAAACAACAGACAGGAAUUGCUUUUUCUGUUUGUUUUAAAUAUUAUUUUAUUUUAUUUUAAUUUUUUGUAAUGUUUUGUUUAUUUUUGAGAGACAGAGACAGAGCACAAGCAGGGGAGGAGCAGAGAGAGAGGGAGACACAGAAUCCAAAGCAGGCUCCACGCUCUGAGCUGUCAGCCCAGAGCCCGACAUGAACCGCGAGAUCAUGACCUGAGCCGAAGUUGGACGCUUAACGGACUGAGCCACCCAGAUACUUGUAUUCCACAUGGAUCUGCUCUGGCUCACUUUUCUAGCCACAACGAGUGCUCUCUUCUCCCCUUAGGUGCUGACGCAUUUAUCCUGGAAUUUUACCUGGCCGAUUAGAAAUCUUUAGUCCUUGUGGGACCUAAUUCUGGGGAUGGUCUGUAAUUCUGGAAAGCCACGAGAAAAUAAAA